Molecule: small nuclear RNA, 133 nt
Filed under: Lupinus angustifolius (narrow-leaved blue lupine)
Lineage: Eukaryota; Viridiplantae; Streptophyta; Magnoliopsida; Fabales; Fabaceae
Description: snRNA U1
Rfam family: U1 spliceosomal RNA
About the family: U1 is a small nuclear RNA (snRNA) component of the spliceosome (involved in pre-mRNA splicing). Its 5' end forms complementary base pairs with the 5' splice junction, thus defining the 5' donor site of an intron.
Source: RNAcentral
AUACUUACCUGGAUGGGGUCCAUGGGUAAUGAAGAAGACUCAUGACCUAGGAUAGUAACCUCCAUUGCACCUAGGAGGGGGGGCAUGCGUUUGCACGACCCUCUCAUUUCUAGUUUAAACCAUUUAUGAUUUA